Molecule: long non-coding RNA, 11947 nt
Organism: Loxodonta africana (African savanna elephant)
Lineage: Eukaryota; Metazoa; Chordata; Mammalia; Proboscidea; Elephantidae
Exons: 3
Source: RefSeq, a predicted model, not a curated record
CACCCAGCAGCAACAGCAGUUACCUUUAGCAAAGGGUUGAAGACUGAAAACUAUUUCUUAAAAACAUUUAGAUUUAUUAUAUAUCUUCCAAAGUGGUUAUUGAAAAAAUUUUUUUCUAACAUGAUUGACUUUUAAAGUUACACGAACAAUAGAAUGAAAAGAAUGAAUUUGGACUAAUUGGAUCAGCACAAUGAUAAAAAGUACAACUCUAAGAUAUUAAAAUACUUUACCCACACUGGCACUGGUGGCCCUCAGUGUAACAACACUGACUGGAUUGUGACACUGUUCAACAAGAUAGUGAACCCGGGGAGAACAGGUCUGGGUUGAAAGAAGAAGAGUUUGGUUUUAGACAUGUUGAUCCGGAGAAACUUCUGGAACAGCCAAAUGAUGAUGCCCAUGGGAUCUACGGUUCUGGAAUUUAGAAGGAGAUCCAGACUAUGAUUGCUGUUGUUAGUUGCUGUCGAGCCGGCUCUGACUCGUGGUGACCCGAUGUACAACAGAAUGAAAUGUUGCCUGGUCCUGUGCCAUCUUUAUAAUUGUACAUAGGGUUUUCACUGGCAAAUUUUGGGGAGUAGAUCACUGGGCUUUUCUUCCUAGUCUGUCUUAGUCUGGAAGCUGCACUGAAACCCGUCCCUCAUGGGUGACCCUGCUAGUAUGUGAAAUACUGGUGGCAUAGCUCCCAGUCUCAUAACAACAUGCAUAUAGAUGGUGAUUGAAUCUUUUGGAAAGGAAGAGAUCAAUGGGAGAGUGUGUACAAGAAGAGAAGAAAGUUGGUUAACAAAACCAUUAGAUGAAAUUAAACUAUGAAAAAGGAUGAGCCAGCAAAAGAGACUGUAAAGAAAUAGCCAGAGAAGAAAAGUAAACACCAGAACAAUGAUUUAAAAGGAAAUUUUCUUGUUUUUAUUUUUUGCAAGGAAGAUAAGGUUAGCUGGAGUUUUUGACAGUAGCAAAAGUAGCUGUUUGUGGAAGAUGGUAGGGGUGGGUGUGAGACUGCAGGGGUGAGCAGGGAGCGGGUGGUGAGGCCAGGGAGCCAAUGAUUGGGUAUAACUUUUUAAAGACACUUGAGUUGUGAAGGGCAGUGGGUGAAGGAGGGACUUUUUUUUCAAGAUGGGGAUUAUAGCAUGUUUAAAUGCCAGGGAUGGCAAGAAGCCAGUAGAGAGGGAGAGGCUGAAGAUAGGAAGCAAUUGGGACAAACAACAGAUUGAGGUGGCAGAGAAUGUCAGAAAGGAUGCGAUCAGAGGGCAGUAAAAUUUAUGACGCAUUGAAGGUCUCACCCUCUUCUUUCUACAUACGGUGAGAUUAUUGAACACAGAAAACAGUGAGGAAGAGAGAGCUAACGGUGGAACAAAAUGUGGUCUCAACACAACCCUGUACAGCUACAAAAGGUCUACAAAAGGACACGUCAGUCUCACGGGUUCAGUGGUAGACUUCCUGCCUUCCAUGUGGGAGACCUGGGUUCGUUCUUGGCCAGUGCACUUCAUGGCUCCGCCACCUGUGUGUAAUUGGAGGCUAUGAUGCUGAACAGGUUUCUGUGGAGCUUCCAGACUAAGACGGACUAGGAAGAAAGGCCUGAUGACCAACUUCUGAAAAUCAGCCAAUGAAAACCUCAUGGAUCACAACAGUGCUAUCUGGAACCUGUAAGGGGAUGGUGCAGGACUGGGCGGCAUUUCAUUCCACCGUUGUGCUUGGAGUCGCCAUGAAUCGGGGGCCGAUACCACGACUGCUAGGGACAAAAACAACAACAUACUGUUCCGUUUGACAUUGCUAGUAUUUUGUUUGAGAUUUCUGCAUCUUUAUUUAUGAAUUAAAAAGGCCUAAAAGUUACCCUUCUCUUAAUGUUUGGUAUUAUGUUUAUGCUCAAUGUGUAAAAUGACUUGGGCGCAUUCUCCCUUUUUUCUUUAUUUCCUGAAAGAAAUUCUCUAAGACAGAUGAUCUUUCCCUUUACAAGUUUGGUAGAAUUUUUGUGUAAAGCCAUCUGAGCCUGGUGUUUUCAUUGUGAGAAUAUUUUAAAAUAUUGCUUCAAUUUCUUUAAUAGUUAUAGUACUCUUCAGGCUUUGUAUUUCUUCUUAAAACAGUCUUGGAAACUGGUGUUUUUCUAGCUCUCAACCUCCUGUAUUUCUGCAUCUAUUUCUAAAUGCCUUUUCAGACAAAUUUCUUUCUGUCUCCAUUUUUUCAAUUAACAUUUACUUCUCAACACACUAAAAUCUGGCUUCUGCUUCCCCCGAAGCUGUUUUGAUAAGGUCACUAAUGGAUCUCCAUGAUGCUGACUCAAAAGGAGUCUUUUUAGUUCUUUUUCUUUUUGACCUUUAUACUUUAUUUUGAGAGUGUUUACCAGUUACUCUUUCCUGAAGCUUUCUUCUUCCUUGGCUUCUGUGACAGAUUCUUCUCUGAUCUCCUCCUGUCUCUCUGAAGGGAUUCUAAGAAGUCAUAAUUUCCUUCUUCUCUCUCGUCUACCUUGUGAAUCUUGACAUUUUCAGGUUUUCAUUCUCAGUUCACUGCUCUUUUCAAUCUAUAUACUCUCUUAUGAUUUAAACUCCACCUGGGGGUAGGUCCAGGCUUUGUGAGGUCUGAUGCUUCUAUAACUUUGGGGUCUCCCUUUAAAAAAAAAAAAAUACAAAAUUAGGUACCAAAAACCCAAAACCAGACUCAUUGCCAUCAAGUCGAUUCUGACUCAUAGUGACAUAAAGGACAGAGUAGAACUGCCCCAUAGGGUUUCUAAGGAGCACCUGGUGAAUUCGAACUGCUGCCCUUUUGGUUAGCUGCUAUAGCUUGUAACGACUAUGCCAUCAGAGUUUCCAAAAUUAGAGACAGGGCCUCAUUAAUGUUGCAAUAAAUGUGCCUCUGCUGCAUCUCUGGAUAGAUGACUUCUAAACUGGUAUUCUUCUUUGACCUCUUUCCUAAACUCAGGUUCGUAUAAAUUAUAUUACAUAUUGGGUAUAUGGAAACCCUGGUGGUGUAGUGAUUAAGUGCUACGGCUGCUAACCAAAGGAUCAGCAGUUCGAAUCCACCAGGUGCUCCUUGGAAACUCUAUGGGGCAGUUCUACUCUGUCCUAUAGGGUCGCUAUGAGUCGGAAUCGACUCCACGGCACUGGGUUUGGUUUUUGGUUUUAUUGGGUAUAUAUUGGUUAGGUCCCACAGUUUUAAAAUAUGGCCCCCAAAUUAUUGAGAAAUGGAGUCUAUGACCCUCUCUUUGAACCUGUGCUUUGUGACUACUUGAUCAGUAGCCUAUAGCAGAAGUGACUGGGUGCUAAUUUCUAGGCCCAAACCCUUAAGAAGCUUCCACUUUCUGUGUUUUGGACAUUUGCUCUUGGAAGCUUGACACCUGCUGUGAAAAAGUCAAGCAACCACAUGGAAAGCCCACAGAUGGGUGUUCUGGCUGAUAGCCCUGGCAGAGGACCUAGUGGGCAGCCAGCACCAACUUGCCAGCCAUGUGAGUGAGCCAUCUUUGAAGUGGGUCCUCUAGCCACAGUCACGCUGCCCUAGUUGACACCACGUGGAGCAGAGGUGAAACUUGCCCGUUGAAGUCAGCCCGAAGUGCAGACUGUGAGCUAAAUAAGUGAUUGUUAUUUUAAAUUCCUGAGAUUUAGGAUGGCUUGUUUCACACUCCAAUAGAUAUAACCGAAACACAUAGAUACUGCAGCUUGUUCCUUCCCCUGGAUUCCCAAUCAUAAUUAAUGACACUACCAAUGGCACUCUCACCCAUACAUUAUAUGCGCGUUCAUUCCCAUUUUUCCCUAUUCCCUCAUCCCCCACAUCCAAUUCAUCACUAAAUUAUAUAGUUUCAGAUUUGGCCUCUUAGGUAUUUCUUUCAUCUAUCUCUUCCCUAUUCCUUCGUUAGUAAGGCCUUCCAUACCCCUUGCCUGUGGCUUUGUAGGAGAUCCUAAUGUAUUUUUCAGUGUCCAUCUUUGUCCUGCCCCAAAUCCAUUUCCCACACUACGACAUUGCUCAUGAAACAACCAUGCUGCUUCCCCGUUUAAAUGCUUUUGAAUAAGUAAACAUAAAAUAAAAAUUUAAUACAAUUAAAACAUUUCUGAAUUAAAGACCUGAGCUGCAGAUUUAAAAAUUGCAACACUAACACAUGAAUAUAUUCUUAAAAUAUUCCCUACAGGCAUCCUAACCUCCAUAUUGCCCUCACCCCUCUUACCCCCCAUCAAACAAUCACCACAUUUUACCUACGAUGAAAUAAAAAGCAAACUGCUUUUGAUUUUCCAAUCUGCAAGUGAUAAAUAUAAAAAAACAAACAAACAAUAGAACAGUGUCUGUGGGGCUUGAGGGAGGACAGCUGCUAGCCAAAAUUUUAACACCCAGCCAAGUUGUCAUUUUUGAGAGAAAUAGAAAUGCAAGAACUCAAAAAAGAAUUUCGCCCACAUACGCUUCCUAGAAAUAAAAAUGAUUUUAAGUCUUACCUGUAGUCUAUCUUGUCCUAUUUACAAUGAAACUUUCCAUGCCUAGUUAUGUCAUGAGAUUGGAAAAUACUGUAGUAGCUAUUACAAGACUGGAGCAGUGGUUAAACGCUCAGCUGUUAACCGAAAGAUCAGUGGUUCCAAUCCACCAGCCGCUCCUUGGGCGAAAGAUGUGGCAGCCUGCUUCUGUCAAGAUUUACAGCCUUGGAAACUCUGUGGAGUAGUUCUACUCUGUCUUAUAGGGUCGUUAUGAGUAGGAAUCGACUCAACAGCAAUAGAUUAUUUACACGAUUGCAAUGAUAAAUACAGUAGCGUUAGUCAAUGCUUUUCGAAUAUAUCAAAAUAGCUCAGCAAAGUUAUGGGAUAAACUGGCUUCUAAAGACUAGUUGUGGGGACUAACUGCCAUUUCAAAAUCAUGUUUCAGUGAAAAAAAUCGUUUUCAGCUUCCAUGCCUGUAACUUAAACAAUUUUUGGAAUGUAACCUGAGGUGUCUGAAUUAAUUUGUCUGUCUGUCACACAAAUGAUAGCUUGAAUUUGAACAUUUUACAGCCAAACUGCAUACUCUUGAUGUUUAAAAGAUUCGCAUAUUUAUGAGAGUGCUAAACAAUGCUUUCCUGAAUAACAUUCCUGUUAUGUUUUGCUAUUUCUUUAGAUCGGUGAAUGUUUGGAGACCGGAUUCUGAGCCUGUCUCAAAAAUGCGACACCCAAGAAUUGGCUUCAGUUUGACAUCAAUCAGCAUUGCUUUUUAGUUUUCAGGUUGCCUUGGGUCUGAAUUAUUACAGCAAGUGACUCCCCUAAAUCAACAGGACACAGGUCUUGGGAUUUAGAAAAGAAUAAUAUUAAUACUUCAAUAUUUAAUUAGAAAUUUUAAUACUUGGAGUACAUAAUAAGAAGAAUGUAUGGUACCAAUGACCAGGCAACAUUUCAUUCUGUUGUGUAUACGGUCGCCAUGAGUUGGACCUGACUCAAUGGUAACUAAUAACAACAGUAACAUGGCAUUAAUAUCUUUUCCAGAAUCACAUUUAAACUGUAGGGAUGUUCAGGUAUAACACGUUCAGAGUAACUUGUAAGUAAUGGCAGCGCUGAGACAGUUUUUGUUUAGGGUUGAUUUUAGCCACAUUUUUUUUUCACACGUUGUUACCACGGAAGUGGUUAUGCUGCAGUGUAAGUAUGUGUUGCUGGGUGGUAGGUGACAGAAUAUUGUAGGUGACAUAAUUCUAAUCCAAAUUUCGCAUUCAAAAUGGUUAUUUUCACCCAGAAAUGAUUUUGUUGGGUAGCCUGGUAACAAGUUUAACAGGCAGGAGCAAAUGAAGGUAGGUAUCUUCAACCCUGUGAUAAGGAGUGUGGUAUGUAACUGCGUCAUAGAUUGGACCUUGCUUUUUACCUCUAUUUUAAAAAUUUUCCUCUUCACAAAUAUAGGAGAAAGAGAAGAAAAAGAGAACUAGUUGAUUCUUUUUUUGCACCCUUUUAAAAAAUGGGUGGUGGUAAAAGAUAUUGUAUGUUUUUCUAAAGACUCAAGUUACUAGACUUGAGAAAGUUAGCUUUUGUUUUCUAUUGAACAGAUUAUAAGGAGAGAAGGAUUGAAAGAAAUGUGUCAAAUGUAAAAUGAUCCUCUUGUUAGGGUGUUGAGUUAGAAUGAAGAAGAAGGACUGGGAAUUCAGGAGAUAGCUUCUAAGUUAGGCAUUAGUCCCAUUCCCCCCGCCCCUUUCAUCCUGUGUCUUAGAAAAAAAAGAAUCUGAACAAUGAAGAGCCAGGCAGGACCGGUCAUGCAAAUAAAGAAAGGGCUCAUUCUACAACUUAAUUUGGUUUCAACAUAACCUCAGUGAAACCACAAAAGACUUAUGUAACCUGAAAUUUCUCUUGCCUGGGGCUUGUAGGUCCCUAGUUCAAUGGAACCUGGAGAAAAUCCUAGAAUUCUAAUGUUAUCUUGGUCAGUCCCCACAGUCAUCUGUUUACCAUGACAUGACUAAAACAAAGCAUGAACGUCAAAGAGUUUCCUGGGUUGGUCAGCGGUGGCUUAUUCUUUGUUUUCCAGUCUUCUCAUUCAUCAUCAUCAUCAUCAUCACUUAACUCUAUUUAGGACUUCUACCAUCUAGCCACAAAGUGCCUUGUUGUUGGAUUACUUGAAGACUGUGAAGGCUGCAAAGUAGUUAUUUGAAUCUUACUUCCUUUAAACUCACCUUACGAUGAAAGCAAAUAGUUUGCUUAGCUGUUUGUUAGUAUUUUCUGUGGUUAUAUGUGAGUGGUACUGUUUUGCCAAAUAUUAAGGUUAAUCUAAUAUCAUUUUGGAGCUUUGCCUAAAUCAUAGACAGUGCCCUUGUACUAAUUUAUUUCUGCUAACAUUGGACUUCCUUGGCCUAGAAGGUUAAAGGAGCCCACGAGGGAACCUCAAAAGUCUUCUUGACUAGGAGGUAUUCCUUAAAAAAAUUAAAUGGAUCAAGUAAGAUUGAUUAAAAAAAAUAAUCCUGUGGUUUUAUUUUUGUUGAUACACAAUUCAUAAUUAUCCAGAAGUGAUAAGCAAAUUUGUGUUUCAUCGUAUUGCACCUUAAAAAAGGGAUUUUUACCUAAGUUGCUGUAGCCUGAAUUUUCGUACCAGCUGAGCGAUGAAUGGGAAUCUGCCUGGCUUAGGAAGUACAGUAAAAUUAUAGGUAAGGGGAUUGCGGGGUUUGGACAUCUUGUCGUUACGGGUAGCAAAAAACCUGUAUUUCCCUAUGCCAUUCUACUACCUAUUACAACUCAAUAUCCUAGUAUUAAAGAGGAAAGGAUUUUUACUGGGACAAGAGGCUGCAAAGGGUGCCGUGGCCUAAACUUGACUGGGGGAGGGAUAACAGCUGGUGCUCUCAUUUUUGAGCUCAUACUUUGUGCCAGGUAUUGUGUUAAGGGCUUUACAAACAUUACCUCUAAAACUUAGCCCCCCCCAAAAAAACAAAGGCGGGUAUAAUUAGCCUCAUUUUACAGGAAGAUGAUCCCUGAAAAGGGGUGGGGGAGGGGCAGAGUUCUUCUGACUGUGAGGACUUUCAUUCUGCAAUGACUGGGAUAAAUUUUCCUGAACUUACUAGAAGUCAUGAAGCAAAAGGUACAGGGCCUGACAAAGAAAUGAUAGGUUUUUAGAAAAAAAAAUUUUUUUUUUUUUUUGUGUGUACUAAUAGUUAAACCCAUUGCUGACCAAUUGAUUUUGACUCAUGGAGACUCUAUAGCAACCUUAUAGGGCAGAGUAAAACUGCCUACAUAGGGUUUCCAAGGAGUGGCUGAUGGAUUCCAACUGCCAACGUUUUGGUUAGCAGUCAUAGUUCUUAACCACUGAGUCACGAGGGCUCCAUACCAAUAGUUGAGGAUUGUGAAAUUACCAGAGUUUCCCGAUUGUGAAAUUUGUACCUACUAAAUAAACCAAAAAACAUACCUAUUGCCACCGAGUCAAUUUCAACUCACAGUGACCCUAUAGGGCAGUAGAACUGCCCCAAAGGAUUUCCAGGGAGCAGCUGGUGAAUUUGAAUUGCUGAUCUCUUGGUUAGCAGUCAAAGGCUUAACCACUGUGCCAUCGGGGCUCCACCUACUACAUAUGUACCUAUAUAUGUCUUUACUUUGUUUAGAUGGUUAACUCAUUAAGUAUUCAUUGGGGACCUACCAUGUUCAUAGCAUUUUGCUAAAGUAGGGGACUUCCAUUAGUUAUUUCUGAUCAAAUAAUUUUGUGAGUUUUCUCCUUUGUCUGGAAACUCUUAUUCAUGCUUCAAGAAGUAGCUCAGACUUCACAUCCUCUUUGAAGCCCUCCCUGGACCCACUGAAGAGACAUUAAUGAACCCUGGUAUACAUUCAUGUCUGUACUGUUUCUAUUUGGAGUUACUGGGUUGCUUAAAUAGUUAAGUGCUCGACUACUAGCCAAAAGGUUGACUGUUUGGAUUCACCCAGAGGUGUCUUGGAAGAAAGGCCUGGCAAUCUGCUUCCAAAAGAUCACAGCCUUGAAAAACCUAUGGAAUGAAGUUCUUAUUCUGCAACACAUGGGGUUGCCAUGAGUUGGAAUUGACUUAAUAGCAACUGGCUAUUUUUUGCUAUAAAUGUCUGUAGUGCUUCUACUAAAGAGCUCUGGUGGCACAAUGGUUAUACACUUGGCUGCGAACUGAAAGGCUGGCAGUUUGAAUCCACCUGGUGGCUCUAUGUGUGAAAGACCUGAUGAUCUGCUUCUGUAAGUACUAUAGCCAAGAAAACCUAUGGGGCAGUUUACUCUGUCACAUGGGGUUGCUAUGAGUCAGAAUUGACUCAAAGGCACCCAACGACAACAGUAUUUCUGUUAAAGAACUGAUCACUGACCAUGCUUUUUUGUUAAUAUUUCUGUCCCCUCCUACUAGACUGUGAAACUGGAAAUUCUACUCCAGCAGGGUCUGGUUCUUUUUCACGCCAUACCUCCUCUAAUCCUGCCCCAAUUCCACAGUGGUUAUGUCAGUCUGACACAUAAUGUGGGGAAGUGAAUUAAUAUGGCCCUUCUAGCCAUAGUCUUUGUGACUCACACACAAUGAUUGAGUGGCACUAUGGAAAUAAGGUGCCUGUGGUCCAUUAAGUGAAUUGGACAGCUUGCUGAUAAUGCAAAUGAGGUACAUGCCACCCUUGUGAGGGCGGGGCCUUGCAAAUAAGGAGUAUGGAACUCUAAGAAGGGGAUUGGUCAGUUUUGCCAUCUUAAUGUAGGCUUAAAGGGAUCCAAUUCCAGAAGCAAAAAGGGGGACCUCACUAUCAUCAAGAAAGAAGAACCAGGACUGGAGCACAUCUUUUACACCUGGGUUCCCUGUGCUGAGAACCCCCUAGGCUCAGGAAACAAAGGGAGCUGUAACAUGGAAGACAGCAAGAGAUGGCGGUGCCACAGUAGCAAAAGCGAUAGUAGCAUGAGAUGGCAGCAACCAGGAGACUGGUGCAAGACAGCUGUGUUGGUAUUUGCAGUCUCUGAGAAGGCUCUGAGCGGGGCCCAAUGGCAGAAGGCGAGAAGAAGUUGCCCGAAUUGACAACUGUAUCCUGGGUUGUUUCCGUUACUUCUAAGUCAUUCCUGACUCCAAGUUGUACCCUGGCACUUCCCUAAUAAACCACAUAACUGUGAGUAUGGUUUGUGAGUUCCGUAUGGCCAUUACAAUGAAUUAUUGAACACAGCAGAGAAAUAGAGAGUGCCGUGGUAGGGAUGGCUGGUGUCAGAAUUGGUAAGAAGGUUAGAGAGAAAAGGCAUGUCUGACUUCCACUUCAUAGGAAUCAGUCUUGGGCUGUUGAUGAUGCUGAUUCUCCCCCCUUGUGUAUCUAGACAAGAUCUGACAUUACCUUACCAUUUUUACACAUAAUGGCUGUGCUUAAUACACAAAUGAAUGUAUACCAGCGAUUCUGGGUGAAGCAGGAGGUUACUGUCCUUCAAACUCACUCAAAAUUACAAGAGGUAUGACUUACUGGGCACCUGCUACUGGAUAUUUGUGGGGUUUAGAGUUAACUUUACCCAAAGAAUUUGGUCUUUGUUCUUGGUUCCUGAGAGAUAACCUCUAAAACCUUGGAAAUUCUCUAGUAAUUGAAGUGUCUUUGAUGAGCCUCCAGGCCACACCUGAGGGUUUAUGCUAAUGAGUCACUGAGUGAUAUCAGCUGAUUUCAGGGAGGGGCGGGCAUGGUUCAAUUAAUUGGGAUUAUGUAAUGAGGCCCUGGUACGGGCUCUGGACAUGGAAGCUCUAUGGGCUUCCUGGUUGGUAAAGACAUGGAUGUAUGUGGGAGGGUGUGUCCCUUUUUGGGACAAGGAUGUUGCACAUUGGGAAGCCUCCCAGACCUUGCCUUAUGUGUCUCUUCAUUUGUGUCCUUUUUUUCUGUAAUACAACUGUUGUUACAAGUAUAACACUUUCCCUGAGUUUUGUGAGUCAUUUUAGUGAAAAUUGAACUUUAGGGAGAAGUGGAGCCAGUGGUGGAUUUGAAUCACUGACCUUUUGGCUAGCAGCUGAGCACUUAACCACUGCACCACCAGGGAUCCCUGUUAGUAUUUAGUAGGAGAGAAAAUGUCUCUGUAUCUUUCCAUCUGGUAAUAAUCGAUACACUCAGCAUCCACCAAAGUUUUAGGUAUCCUAAAGAGGAGAGCACACCCAGGGUCUGAAACGUCUUUACAGCUCAAGACUAUAGGCUCAAGAGAGACCAGGAAAAUGCCCGAGUGGCUGGUGUAUGUGGCAGGCAGAUAGAUCAGAGUGUUGUUCUGAUAAACACUAUCCCUGGAAAAUUCCAGGUAAGUUCUGAAUCUCUCAAAAGAAAGACAUUUGCAGCCUGGAAGUUAAACCAGGAAGACAGAAGGCCUGUGUGGAAGAGUCCCUUCUAGAUGGAGGAUAUUCAGUCCUGGAGAUUGUGAACUCCCUUUCAGAUAAAAAGUUACCCAGGAUGGGGAUGACUUGCUUCACCAGCAUACCUUGCUUACAGUGUGUAGUGCUCAAAAGAUCUGCUCAAUAAAUGUGUGUUGAUGAGGUCCUAUCCAUUGUCAUAGAGAUCAGCUGGAGCCAUAUCCCAAAAGAAUACACUGUGGUUAAAAAAUAAACUAUUCUAGAUUUGAAAAUGAGAUAUAGGAUAUGCCCAGCAAGGUUGAGAAGAGAAAUUUUGGGAAAUCAGGAUAUCAGCAUAAAAAUCUAGACAUCAUUUUUUUGAAGGGACUGUAAUAGCACAAGGAACAAGCAACAUGGCUUUAUUAAUAGCUAGUGAAAUGGCAGGGCAUACACUUCAUAGAAUAGCUCCAUAUGGUGAGAGCUGAAAGACUACAUCUUUUAAUACCACACCUUCCCCAGCAGCUAAAGUGAUAGCCUUGGAGUGAAGAGCUGCCAAUAGCACACUGCAAAAUGACAAGAGCCCCACAGCACAUUCAACUGCUAGAUUAUAUUCAUGCUCUGCACACAGAGCAGGAAAAUCCCACUUAUGAUGUGAUUGUGCACACGUGUUCUGUGUGUUUGAAGCUCAGCCUACUGCUUGAGCUUCUGCAGCUAAAAUCGAAUAGAACUGGGCAUGUGUCUGAAGGCAGCAAAGGAAAUACAAGGAGAACUGAGAUUUCUCAUAAACCAGCCAUAAAUGGUCAUUCUCCUUAUCAAACUUAGUCAUCUAUUUAGCUCAUAUAUUUCUUUGAAGCAGUAAAAAUAUUUCAAGUAUCUCAGAAGUGCUGAGCAAAGCAUUAUAUUUUUUUGGAAUCGAGAGUGCUAAGAUUAUUGCAUUGUGUGAAUGUGACACUAACUUUAGCAUGUUGGCUUCAAAAGUUCAUUAUAUAAAUAAUAUGAAAUUAGAGAUAAGACCUGUUAAGAAAUACUGAUAUUCUCACUCCUAAGAGAUAACCAGUCUUAACAUUUGAAAAACAUAUUUAUGGACCCACAAAAAUGGGCUUAUGCUGUGAAUAUUGUUUUAUAACAUUUUUCAUUUAUAAAUGUAUUGGGGCCAAAUCUCCAUGCCAAUACAAUUUUUAAUUUAUUAAAAUAAAAAUACCUAUAGAAAAGUACACAUACUGUAUUUUAUCAAUGCAUAUUUUUUUUUUGCUGAGAACAAAUUUGAUUUUUAUUUUAUUUAUUUUAUCUUUU